CGUCUAAAGAUACUGCCCGGUAACGGGAGGAAGGUGGGGAUGACGUCAAGUCCUCAUGGCCUUUAUAUCCAGGGCUACACACGUGCUACAAUGGGCUGUACAAAAGGUUGCGAACCCGCGAGGGUAAGCCAAUCCUAUAAAGCAGUUCUAAGUUCGGAUUGGAGUCUGCAACUCGACUCCAUGAAGCUGGAAUCGCUAGUAAUCGCGGAUCAGCACGCCGCGGUGAAUACGUUCCCGGGCCUU
This 243-nucleotide ribosomal RNA is filed under the name uncultured Desulfobacteraceae bacterium. RNAcentral's name for it is "partial 16S ribosomal RNA". It matches the Rfam family "Bacterial small subunit ribosomal RNA", at positions 1137 to 1382 of the family's 1533-position model. Lineage: Bacteria; Pseudomonadati; Thermodesulfobacteriota; Desulfobacteria; Desulfobacterales; Desulfobacteraceae. The record is from RNAcentral.